AUUUUCUCCUCUCCCCGCGGAGGUUUAGUGAUAGAAAAUCAGUGCAUUAGCAGAACUUAUUAGUAAAAGGUCAAUUUGGAACUGAAAAUUUGUUUGCCAAUUUACUUGGGCCGAAUUUGGAAUUUAACAUGGCAAAAGCUUUGCACCUGGUACGGUUGAUGUCUAGAGCAAAUCUAAACCCUUAUUAUCCUGAGACAUGUUAAGGGCCCGUUUGAGGAUUCAAACCCAGAUUUGGGACUAAAGCCAAUUUUGCUGCCUCUUUGUUGUAGAGAAAAAUUGAGUUUCUGCCCAUUCAAACGUCAGUCAUAGAAAAGCAACAAAAUUGCUGUAAAUCUUUUCCCUUAUCCUCCAUUCUAUACAUAUUUACCGUGCUAAUUUUGAUUGAACUUCAAUUUAAGAGCUUGAGUUUAGAAUUUCAAAUCCUAAUUACUGGCAAAAGUUGAAAGGUGGAUAUCAAUGGAUCCUCGGAGCGGCAUUGAUAUAUUAGCACGAGCAAAGAGCUGAUGGUGUUCUUAUGAUUCUUCUGAACAAUCGAUACAUUGUUACGGUCAAUUUUGAAUUCCGUGCAAAUAAUCCAAUCAAAUUAACUGCCUCCAUUUUGCCAUUUUUCAUCUUCCCCAGGGAAGAUGGUAACCAUUCCUCAACCCUCAACUUUCCAGACGCCUUCCCUUCACUGUGCUUCCAGAAGCAGGAAAAGCAGGAAACAGAAACAACUAGAACAAAGGCACAAACAACUCCACCAAAACAGAAAUAGAACCGCCCUUUCUUUCCCAAGUUCAUUCCCAACCCCACUACUAAUCAACCACAAACCUCAUACCCAGACCAAACUACAAGCCUUGGACAAUGUCGUUAAAGACCUCGAAUACUCUAUUGGAAAGGGCAUAAAAAUCGAUACCCAAAUCUUCUCUUCCCUCUUAGAAACAUGCUACCAGUUAAAUGCUAUUGGUCACGGUAUCAGGAUUCACCAGCUGAUACCCAACACUCUUUUACGUAAAAACACGGGUAUUGCAUCGAAAUUAGUCAGGCUUUACGCUUCCUGUGGGCAUAUGGAUGAAGCUCACAAGUUGUUUGAUGAAAUGGCUAACAGAGAUGAGUCGGCCUUUGCUUGGAACUCGGUCAUUGCUGGGUAUACUGAACUGGGUCUAUAUGAAGAUGCCAUCGCUCUUUAUUUUCAAAUGGAAGAAGAAGGUGUUGAACCGGACCAAUUCACUUUUCCUCGCGUGUUGAAAGCUUGUGGGGGACUUGGUCUAAUUCAAGUUGGCGAGGCAGUGCACAGGGAUUUAGUCCGAUUGGGGUUCGCAAAUAAUGGGUAUGCGCUAAAUGCUCUUGUUGAUAUGUACGCUAAAUGUGGUGACAUUGUUAAGGCUCAAAGGAUAUUCGACAAGAUCGCUUCUAAGGACUCUGUUUCGUGGAAUUCCAUGCUCACGGGUUACGUUCGUCAUGGGCUACUAGUGGAGGCAUCGCAUACUUUUCAUAGGAUGCUUCAAGAUGGAGUUGAGUUGGAUUCAUUGGCAAUUUCCUCAAUUCUUGCAAAUGUAUCUUCUCCACAGCUAGGAAUUCAAAUUCAUGGAUGGAUUAUUAGGAGAGGAAUGGAGUGGGAUUUAUCCAUUGCUAAUUCCUUGAUUUUUAUGUACUCAAGUAAUGGUAAGUUGGAUCAAGCACGUUGGUUGUUUGAUCAUAUGCCGGAAAGGGACGUCGUCUCAUGGAAUUCCAUAAUUUCUGCUCAUUGUAAAGACCCUGAAGUGUUAUCUUACUUUGAGAGGAUGGAGAAGGAUGUUGUUUUGCCAGAUAAUAUCACAUUUGUGUCGAUCCUAUCUGCGUGUGCUCAUCUGGGUUUGGUGGAGGAUGGGGAAAAACUCUUUUCAUUGAUGACAAAUAAGUAUAGAAUAGAACCCAUCAUGGAACACUAUGCUUGUAUGGUGAAUCUUUAUGGGAGAGCAGCGUUGACAAGGGAGGCCUAUGCCAUAAUAACAGAUAAAAUGGAAUUUGAUGCUGGUCCAACUGUUUGGGGAGCAUUGUUAUAUGCUUGUUACCUCCAUAGGAAUGCAGAUAUAGGGGAGAUAGCUGCUCAAACUCUUUUUGAGCUGGAGCCAGAUAAUGUACACAAUUUUGAGCUUUUGAUGAAGAUUUAUGGUGAUGCAGGCAGGUUGGAGGAUGUAGAGAGAGUGAGAACAAUGAUGAUUGAUAGGGGAUUGUGAUUGGAAAUGUGCACUGGUACGAUCUAUAAACAGAGGAGAAAUCACGCUUGUGUUAGCCAUGCUCCCGCAGCUGUUAGCCGAGUCGCAUCUUCCUCAGGUUAGGUGUAGUCGACUCGCCAUAACCCACAUUAUGCUAUAGGCUUCUUUUUCUUUCUUCUUUAGUUCCUUUUUCCCCCCGAAAAAUAAAAAUAUUCAAAACUAAUAUGAUUUGUGAAUGGUAUCGAGGACCAAUUGAAUUAUUGCAUAUACUUUGUUUAUAUAAGAUAACAAAUUACGUACAAUGUUUUCACUUAAAUUUUCUUUUUCGCUUUAUGUGCUUUGGGAGACAAAUGGUUUUCACAUUAAUUUUCUCACGCUUUUUUAAGGCAUUUACACCUCCG
This 2578-nucleotide unclassified non-coding RNA is filed under the name Hevea brasiliensis (rubber tree). The record is from RNAcentral. Lineage: Eukaryota; Viridiplantae; Streptophyta; Magnoliopsida; Malpighiales; Euphorbiaceae.